AUUGAACGCUGGCGGCAUGCUUUACGCAUGCAAGUCGAACGGUAACAGGCCGCAAGGUGCUGACGAGUGGCGAACGGGUGAGUAAUGCAUCGGAACGUGCCCCGUCGUGGGGGAUAACUACUCGAAAGAGUAGCUAAUACCGCAUACGAUCUAUGGAUGAAAGCGGGGGACCGUAAGGCCUCGCGCGAUUGGAGCGGCCGAUGUCAGAUUAGGUAGUUGGUGGGGUAAAGGCUCACCAAGCCAACGAUCUGUAGCUGGUCUGAGAGGACGACCAGCCACACUGGGACUGAGACACGGCCCAGACUCCUACGGGAGGCAGCAGUGGGGAAUUUUGGACAAUGGGCGCAAGCCUGAUCCAGCAAUGCCGCGUGCAGGAAGAAGGCCUUCGGGUUGUAAACUGCUUUUGUACGGAACGAAACGGCUCUGGUUAAUACCCGGGGCUAAUGACGGUACCGGAAGAAUAAGCACCGGCUAACUACGUG
Molecule: ribosomal RNA, 482 nt
Filed under: uncultured bacterium
Lineage: Bacteria
Description: partial 16S ribosomal RNA
Rfam family: Bacterial small subunit ribosomal RNA
Source: RNAcentral